GCCUAACACAUGCAAGUCGAACGGUAACAGGAAGAAGCUUGCUUCUUUGCUGACGAGUGGCGGACGGGUGAGUAAUGUCUGGGAAACUGCCUGAUGGAGGGGGAUAACUACUGGAAACGGUAGCUAAUACCGCAUAACGUCGCAAGACCAAAGAGGGGGACCUUCGGGCCUCUUGCCAUCGGAUGUGCCCAGAUGGGAUUAGCUAGUAGGUGGGGUAACGGCUCACCUAGGCGACGAUCCCUAGCUGGUCUGAGAGGAUGACCAGCCACACUGGAACUGAGACACGGUCCAGACUCCUACGGGAGGCAGCAGUGGGGAAUAUUGCCCAAUGGGCGCAAGCCUGAUGCAGCCAUGCCGCGUGUAUGAAGAAGGCCUUCGGGUUGUAAAGUACUUUCAGCGGGGAGGAAGGGAGUAAAGUUAAUACCUUUGCUCAUUGACGUUACCCGCAGAAGAAGCACCGGCUAACUCCGUGCCAGCAGCCGCGGUAAUACGGAGGGUGCAAGCGUUAAUCGGAAUUACUGGGCGUAAAGCGCACGCAGGCGGUUUGUACAAGUCAGAUGUGAAAUCCCCGGGCUCA
This 577-nucleotide ribosomal RNA is filed under the name uncultured Pseudomonadota bacterium. RNAcentral describes it as "bacterial SSU rRNA". It matches the Rfam family "Bacterial small subunit ribosomal RNA", at positions 46 to 611 of the family's 1533-position model. Lineage: Bacteria; Pseudomonadati; Pseudomonadota. The record is from RNAcentral.